UCCAGACUCCUACGGGAGGCAGCAGUGGGGAAUAUUGCACAAUGGGGGGAACCCUGAUGCAGCGACGCCGCGUGGGUGAAGGAGCACCUCGGUGCGUAAAGCCCUAUCGGCAGGGAAGAAAAGCGAACAGGUUCGCCUGGACGGUAACUGACUAAGAAGCCCCGGCUAAAUACGUGCCAGCAGCCGCGGUAAUACGGAGGGGGCAAGCGUUAUCCGGAUUCACUGGGUGUAAAGGGAGCGUAGACGGCGACGCAAGUCUGGAGUGAAAGCCCGGGGCCCAACCCCGGGACUGCAUUUGGAACUGCGUGGCUUGAGUGUCGGAGAGGCAGGCGGAAUUCCUAGUGUAGCGGUGAAAUGCGUAGAUAUUAGGAGGAACACCAGUGGCGAAGGCGGCUUACUGGACUGUAACUGACGUUGAGGCUCGAAAGCGUGGGGAGCAAACAGGAUUAGAUACCCCGGUAA
Molecule: ribosomal RNA, 462 nt
Filed under: uncultured bacterium
Lineage: Bacteria
Description: bacterial SSU rRNA
Rfam family: Bacterial small subunit ribosomal RNA
Source: RNAcentral